Molecule: signal recognition particle RNA, 266 nt
Filed under: Clostridiales bacterium
Lineage: Bacteria; Bacillati; Bacillota; Clostridia; Eubacteriales
Description: signal recognition particle sRNA large type
Rfam family: Bacterial large signal recognition particle RNA
About the family: The signal recognition particle (SRP) is a universally conserved ribonucleoprotein involved in the co-translational targeting of proteins to membranes. Archaeal SRP consists of a 7S RNA and homologues of the eukaryotic SRP19 and SRP54 proteins.
Source: RNAcentral
CCGUGCUAGACGGGGAGGUAGCGGUGCCCUGUUACCCGCAACCCGCUAUAGCGGGGUUGAAGUCCUGCUCGAGGCCGGGCUCGUUCGGGGUCAGCCCGGCGUGCGCGAUGAUGAUGACCGGAUCCCGCGCGACGGGAUCCUGGAAACCCCGCCAGGCCCGGAAGGGAGCAACGGUAACCGGGAGAUCCCGGGUGCCGCGGGGUAAUCCGGUCGGAGUCAGCGGCGCCGCCAGCGCCCGGGCGGUCAGGUCGGAAGCAGGUGCACGG